Long non-coding RNA from Cornus florida, 831 nucleotides. RefSeq lists it as uncharacterized. Lineage: Eukaryota; Viridiplantae; Streptophyta; Magnoliopsida; Cornales; Cornaceae. The transcript is spliced from 2 exons. The record is from RefSeq and is a predicted model, not a curated record.
AGAUGGGUCAAACGUCGUCGUUCGUGAUCUGUUAUCUCCUUUAUAAGCUUCGCUUCAUCGAAAGUGAACUUAUCCAUAGCCGCAACCUCCAUAGCCGCAACCCCCCUAGGUCGUGUUUUAGAUUCAACAACCCAUAAAACUGUAUGCCCUUCAAACCAUCCAUCAGCUGUCUUUAUCUCUCAGAUCCAUCUCAAUUUCCACAAAUCAAUACUCAUUUACAUUCAAUUACCUCAUCAAUUCAUGCGGGUUGAGUCCACAAACUGCUAUUUCACCUUCCAAAUACAUCAAUCUCAAACCCUAGACAAACCAGAUUCGGUUCUCAACUUCUUCAACAAGCAUAGUUUCAAGAUCUUGAAUUUGGGCAAAAGGGUUUUCUUGGGAUCAGAAAACGCCCCAAAACGUCUCGUAUCGGAUCCCAAGAAAACCGUUUUGCCCAAAUUCCAGCUCUUUUACUUGUCUGGCAUCUCGAGCUCAAGAUCCCAACUAUUUUGACAUAAAACGUUCAGAUGUUCAGGCAAUUGAAACUUGAAGCUCAACAACAUGGUGCAUUGAUUUCUCUGCUUUUUAAAAAAAAAUUGUAGUGGUUGAGGCUUGGUGUGAUAUAGAUCAGUCAGGUGGUCUUGGUUUUGUUUGACAUUCAAUUUUGGAACUAGUUCAAUUUGUUAGGUUAAUGAUUUUGAUUUUCAAUUGUAAUGAUGCAAACAUCUAACUUUGUGUUGUAAUUUUUUUUUAUCCCGCAACUCUUAUCUUCCUAUUUCGUUUAGAGCAUAAAUAAAUGAGAUUAUAUCACAUUAUUCUCUUUAUGAAGUGUGACAUUAUUGUUUCAAAUUA